RNAcentral lists this long non-coding RNA (2443 nucleotides) under Equus caballus (horse). RNAcentral describes it as "lncRNA (ENSECAG00000047206.1)". The record is from RNAcentral. Lineage: Eukaryota; Metazoa; Chordata; Mammalia; Perissodactyla; Equidae.
UGUGUACGGUGACAGGUGGUAACCAGCCUUUGGGUGGUGAACACGAUGUAAACUACACAAAAAUCGAAAUAUAAUGAUGUACACCUGAAAUUUAUAUAAUGUUAUAAACCAAUGUUACCUCAAUUUACAAAAAUACAUGCAGGAAGGUAGCCAGCACAUUUAGAAACUUCACGCAAACAGAAAAAGGCACCCACUCUGAUAGACAAUUAGAAGGUGCACUGUCCUCCAGUGCACAGAGGAACAGAGCCUAGGCUGGAUUCAGAUCCCAGCCCCUCCGCCAGGCACAGCCUGCACAGCCAUACACAGCAGUUUACACACAAAAAAGAAAUGGGGGGGAGGGGAUCUUGUAUCUAGAUGAAUUUUAUAUAAAGUGAAGCCGGUGCGCCGAGGCAGUUUUCUGUUCGAGGAAAUCCUGCUGUGAACUCCUUCGUCACGUGGAGAAUGCUUCCUAAUGGAGGUCGUCACCACCCAGGCACUGCUGCGAAAUUCAGAUCCGUGAUUUGGCGAAAGUGAGAUCUGGCCGGAGAACUCAGAGAAAUUACAGACGCUGUUAAAUUACAAAGCACUCAGAGGCAAAGAGGAAAGAAAAGGCACAGGCGAUCGCCAGCAGGAUGGACGCUGGCAGUCUCCACCGGCUCCUAAUCACUAAUCGCGGCAUCCGCCCGCCUGUGGCCGUCACUGAGUCAACUGUACGUGCUCCCGGGGACAGGAAAUCUGCUUCCGUCCAACCGGGAAGCGAACGGACCAACGGACAACAAGGAACCAGCGGGAGGAGCUUCCCUGAGUUAGGGGACGGCUGCUGACAAACACGUGGAGACCACGCGGCCUCGCUCCCGCCCCGCCCCCCCCGUUGCCCUGACAACCGCGCCGGCGUCAGGUUGCGCUGAGGGCGCGCGGCCAGCCUCCCACAGUGCCCCGCGCGCGCGCAUGCGCCGGGGAGGCCCGCCGCGCAGGCCGUUUGGCUGGGCCCUGGCCGCGCAGCACCUCGCGGAGUCGGGAGGCGGGUGGGAGUGCGCCGGAGAGACGAGCCGCUCGCCACGCGCCGGCUUCGUGCUGGGCGCCCUCGGGGACUCCGGAGGAGACCCCGCCUUCCAGGCCCGCGCCUCCCUUCGGAGCGGCGAGACCCGCGUCCCGUGCCCGCCCUGCCUCAGUUUCCCCAUUUGUAGGGUGGGAGCUCACAGCCCUCCCUAGAGGCCAGAAGGGGCCGGAAGGCGGGGAGCAGGGCGGCUCCGUGGUGGGAGUGGUGGGACGAGGACGCGAAGAUGCCCGGGAGGUGGCUGUGCGCGUCCCCUUGCCGGGAGGAGGCCCCGGCCCAGUGGGUGGGGAGAGGGUUAGGGGCCCGGUCGUUGUUUAGGGCGGAGGGUGUCCUGUGCCCUGUAGGAUGCUUCUGUUCAGCUGCAUAUCCGCCUCUGCUCACUAGAUGCCGUGAACGCCACCGGCCCCAAGAUGUCACCACCCAAAGUAUCUCCAGACGUUGCCAGGUGUCCCCUAGGGGGCAGGAUGGCACCGAGAGAGAACCCCCCGAGCAGAGCCAAAAAUGAAAAGAUAGAUAAAUCUGUCAGUUUUCACUAAGUCGAUUUUGAAUUCUUUAACCACUGUGCUAUGCCCAAAAUAUAUGCUACAUUAAUUCUCCCAGUGGAGAUUCGUAAAAUAGCCAGAUUUUCUGGAAACUGGUUGACUCAGUUGGAGUCUGUGAAACAGCGGAUGAGUGUGAUGGACUCUUCCACUGAGCUGAACGGGCACUGGGCCAAGAAUCCGGAGACCUGGGAUCUGUCCCCAGGGCGGCCCUUACAAGCUCUGUGGCCUUGUCACUUAACUUCUCUGGACUGAUUGUCCCCUCUGUCAAAUGAGGGCUGCCAGGUGCCAGAUCUGGGCCAUGGGCCAGAAGAUGCUAUGUGCUGCCCUCACAGAGCAGGAACUUGAAGUAAGGAAUUGGGAGCCUGCUCAAGAGAAUGGGCUAACCAGGAUGGCCCGACCUGAACCCGCGAGAACACAAGCUCAAGGGAGCACAGACAGCCCGUUGUGUUUAUCGCUGCCUCCCGGGUGCUCAGAACAAUCCCGAUACCUAGGACCAGUCAAUAACUAGGUGUCGAAUGAAUGAACAAGGGGCACGUGGUGUAUUUGGGAAUGAUAGCGGCUCCCUCUCCCAGGAGCAGCAUUCCCGGAGAUGACACAUGUGAGAGGUGAGCGCUGGUGAACGGUGCUUGGAGAGGAGUGAGCGCUCGGCAUGCAGCCCCGAGUUUACAGAGAGCCGGCUCUCGAUGCUCCGGAACGGGGCCGGCACCCAGCAAUCCAGGGCGGUCGCGAGGCCAUCAUCUCCCACACUGCCCUUGAUAAAGGCCAGCUGGCUGUCGGCCGCUCGGUGAGAAAUGGUGUGUCCCUUGCUCCUGACCCCCCGAGGCCUGGAGCACCGAGGGCACCCGCUAACCAGCUGAUGCUGCGG